UACGGGGGGGGCAAGCGUUGUUCGGAAUUACUGGGCGUAAAGGGCUCGUAGGUGGCCAACUAAGUCAGACGUGAAAUCCCUCGGCUUAACCGGGGAACUCCGUCUGAUACUGGAUGGCUUGAGGUUGGGAGAGGGAUGCGGAAUUCCAGGUGUAGCGGUGAAAUGCGUAGAUAUCUGGAGGAACACCGGUGGCGAAAGCGCUCUGCUAGGCCGCAACUGACACUGAGGGACGAAAGCUAGGGGAGCGAAUGGG
Molecule: ribosomal RNA, 253 nt
Filed under: uncultured bacterium
Lineage: Bacteria
Description: partial 16S ribosomal RNA
Rfam family: Bacterial small subunit ribosomal RNA
Source: RNAcentral